This 492-nucleotide ribosomal RNA is filed under the name uncultured bacterium. RNAcentral's name for it is "partial 16S ribosomal RNA". It matches the Rfam family "Bacterial small subunit ribosomal RNA", at positions 29 to 507 of the family's 1533-position model. The record is from RNAcentral.
AGUGAACGCUGGCGGUAGGCCUAACACAUGCAAGUCGAACGGCAGCACAGUAAGAGCUUGCUCUUACGGGUGGCGAGUGGCGGACGGGUGAGGAAUACAUCGGAAUCUACUUUUUCGUGGGGGAUAACGUAGGGAAACUUACGCUACUACCGCAUACGACCUACGGGUGAAAGCAGGGGAUCUUCGCACCUUGCGCGAUUGAAUGAGCCGAUGUCGGAUUAGCUAGUUGGCGGGGUAAAGGCCCACCAAGGCGACGAUCCGUAGCUGGUCUGAGAGGAUGAUCAGCCACACUGGAACUGAGACACGGUCCAGACUCCUACGGGAGGCAGCAGUGGGGAAUAUUGGACAAUGGGCGCAAGCCUGAUCCAGCCAUACCGCGUGGGUGAAGAAGGCCUUCGGGUUGUAAAGCCCUUUUGUUGGGAAAGAAAAGCAGCAGGUUAAUACCCCGCUGUUCUGACGGUACCCAAAGAAUAAGCACCGGCUAACUUCGUG